ACUCCUACGGGAGGCAGCAGUGGGGAAUUUUGGACAAUGGGCGCAAGCCUGAUCCAGCAAUGCCGCGUGUGUGAAGAAGGCCUUCGGGUUGUAAAGCACUUUUGUCCGGAAAGAAAACCUCGUGGUUAAUACCCGUGGGGGAUGACGGUA
Molecule: ribosomal RNA, 150 nt
Filed under: uncultured Burkholderia sp.
Lineage: Bacteria; Pseudomonadati; Pseudomonadota; Betaproteobacteria; Burkholderiales; Burkholderiaceae
Description: partial 16S ribosomal RNA
Rfam family: Bacterial small subunit ribosomal RNA
Source: RNAcentral